This 497-nucleotide ribosomal RNA is filed under the name uncultured bacterium. RNAcentral describes it as "partial 16S ribosomal RNA". It matches the Rfam family "Bacterial small subunit ribosomal RNA", at positions 28 to 507 of the family's 1533-position model. The record is from RNAcentral.
GAUGAACGCUGGCGGCGUGCCUAAUACAUGCAAGUCGAGCGAACGGACGAGAAGCUUGCUUCUCUGAUGUUAGCGGCGGACGGGUGAGUAACACGUGGAUAACCUACCUAUAAGACUGGGAUAACUUCGGGAAACCGGAGCUAAUACCGGAUGAUAUUUUGAACCGCAUGGUUCAAAAGUGAAAGACGGUCUUGCUGUCACUUAUAGAUGGAUCCGCGCUGCAUUAGCUAGUUGGUAAGGUAACGGCUUACCAAGGCAACGAUGCAUAGCCGACCUGAGAGGGUGAUCAGCCACACUGGAACUGAGACACGGUCCAGACUCCUACGGGAGGCAGCAGUAGGGAAUCUUCCGCAAUGGGCGAAAGCCUGACGGAGCAACGCCGCGUGAGUGAUGAAGGUCUUCAGAUCGUAAAACUCUGUUAUUAGGGAAGAACAGAUGUGUAAGUAACUGUGCACAUCUUGACGGUACCUAAUCAGAAAGCCACGGCUAACUACGUG